GACGAACGCUGGCGGCGUGCUUAACACAUGCAAGUCGGACGGGCCUUGUCCCCUUUUUUUUGGGGUUGGGGUUAGUGGCGAACGGGUGAGUAACACGUGAGUAACCUGCCCCUCACUUCUGGAUAACCGCUUGAAAGGGUGGCUAAUACGGGGUGUUCUGGCCUGCUCGCAUGGGUGGGUUUGGAAAGAUUCGACCGGUUUUGGUUGUUUUGGUGGGGGAUGGGCUCGCGGCCUAUCAGCUUGUUGGUGGGGUGAUGGCCUGCCAAGGCUUUGACGGGUAGCCGGCCUGAGAGGGUGGGCGGUCACACUGGGACUGAGACACGGCCCAGACUCCUACGGGAGGCAGCAGUGGGGAAUAUUGCACAAUGGGCGCAAGCCUGAUGCAGCGACGCCGCGUGAGGGAUGGAGGCCUUCGGGUUGUGAACCUCUUUCGCCAGUGAAGAAGGUCCUGCUCUUUGUGGUGGGGUUGACGGUAGCUGGGUUAAUGAAGCGCCGGCUAACUACGUG
Molecule: ribosomal RNA, 507 nt
Filed under: uncultured bacterium
Lineage: Bacteria
Description: partial 16S ribosomal RNA
Rfam family: Bacterial small subunit ribosomal RNA
Source: RNAcentral